Long non-coding RNA from Larimichthys crocea (large yellow croaker), 727 nucleotides. RefSeq lists it as uncharacterized. The record is from RefSeq and is a predicted model, not a curated record. Lineage: Eukaryota; Metazoa; Chordata; Actinopteri; Sciaenidae. The transcript is spliced from 3 exons.
CAGGCCUCUGGUAGAGGACCCGAGUUUGAGGAUGACACGGAUACCAUCGGCGUGUGCUACACUGCAACAAGCUCCAUGUGCUGCUCUUGUGUAACGUCCUGCACCAGCAGAAGCUCCCAGCCAGCGUUUGGUUUUUUCAUGACUUACACUGCUGAACCAUGGAGCUGUAAAACUCUUUAUGUGGAGUGCAUGGAUCUGUGCCGUCCACCAGUCUCUCCAUAGUGCCGCUGGUGAGCUGUUCAACCAUGGCAUGGUUUACACAGCCAAGCUUUUGAGGUCCCUGCUUCCUCUUACUCCUCCCCCUCUGAGCGCUGUGUGCUUUAUUCACCAACGUCAACACAAUCCAUUUGAAACUAUUGCAACAGAGAUGCAAAAGAAUGCUGCCAUGUCCAUCACCGGUUUGGAAACAAAGACGGUUCAAAGGGAAACCCUGUGUGAAAGGGGACCGUGGCCUGUUUUACUGCAGCCAAACGGAGAGCAGGCCUGGCUUUUUAGAUGAAGCAGCUGCAGAGGAAUCAAGAAUAAAACAUUUCAGACUUGAUCAUGAGUGCACACAGUCAGCUAGGGAAUAAAUACAAAAUAGAUAAUGUUCAAAAUAAAUCUCUUAAUCCUCAUGCCAGACUGUGUAUAGUGGCCUGGUGCCCACUGGACAAUAAAUCAGGAAAUGUUACCAGAGGGGCCCGACGAGCUCGCCUGCCAAGAAUAGCACAGAAAAGAAACAGCUAAU